This 206-nucleotide ribosomal RNA is filed under the name uncultured bacterium. Its description in RNAcentral is "partial 16S ribosomal RNA". It matches the Rfam family "Bacterial small subunit ribosomal RNA", at positions 568 to 774 of the family's 1533-position model. The record is from RNAcentral.
CUCGUAGGUGGCCAACUAAGUCGGACGUGAAAUCCCUCGGCUUAACCGGGGAACUGCGUCCGAUACUGGAUGGCUUGAGGCUGGGAGAGGGAUGCGGAAUUCCAGGUGUAGCGGUGAAAUGCGUAGAUAUCUGGAGGAACACCGGUGGCGAAGGCGGCAUCCUGGACCAGCUCUGACACUGAGGAGCGAAAGCCAGGGAGCAAACG